This 407-nucleotide ribosomal RNA is filed under the name uncultured Nocardioides sp. Its description in RNAcentral is "bacterial SSU rRNA". It matches the Rfam family "Bacterial small subunit ribosomal RNA", at positions 355 to 774 of the family's 1533-position model. Lineage: Bacteria; Bacillati; Actinomycetota; Actinomycetes; Propionibacteriales; Nocardioidaceae. The record is from RNAcentral. RNAcentral also lists the same sequence under 1 other name.
UGGGGAAUAUUGGACAAUGGGCGGAAGCCUGAUCCAGCAACGCCGCGUGAGGGAUGACGGCCUUCGGGUUGUAAACCUCUUUCAGUACCGACGAAGCGAGAGUGACGGUAGGUACAGAAGAAGCACCGGCCAACUACGUGCCAGCAGCCGCGGUAAUACGUAGGGUGCGAGCGUUGUCCGGAAUUAUUGGGCGUAAAGGGCUCGUAGGCGGUUUGUCGCGUCGGGAGUGAAAAUCCAGGGCUUAACUCUGGACUGGCUUCCGAUACGGGCAGACUAGAGGUAUGCAGGGGAGAACGGAAUUCCUGGUGUAGCGGUGAAAUGCGCAGAUAUCAGGAGGAACACCGGUGGCGAAGGCGGUUCUCUGGGCAUUACCUGACGCUGAGGAGCGAAAGUGUGGGGAGCGAACA